UACGGAGGGGGCAAGCGUUGUUCGGAAUCACUGGGCGUAAAGCGCGUGUAGGCGGCCAGGCAAGUCGAGUGUGAAAUUCCGAGGCUCAACCGCGGGACAGCGCUCGAAACUGGAUGGCUCGAGGUCAGGUGAGGAUGACGGAAUUGCCGGUGUAGGGGUGAAAUCCGUAGAUAUUGGGAGGAACGCCAGUGGCGAAGGCGGUCUUCUGGACGGAGACUGACGCUGAGGCGCGAAAGCGUGGGGAGCAAACAGG
This 253-nucleotide ribosomal RNA is filed under the name uncultured bacterium. Its description in RNAcentral is "partial 16S ribosomal RNA". It matches the Rfam family "Bacterial small subunit ribosomal RNA", at positions 524 to 776 of the family's 1533-position model. The record is from RNAcentral.